GAUGAACGCUAGCGGCAGGCUUAACACAUGCAAGUCGAGGGGUAGGUUACUUCGGUAAUUGAGACCGGCGCACGGGUGCGUGACGCGUAUACAAUCUACCUUUUACAGAGGGAUAGCCCAGAGAAAUUUGGAUUAAUACCUCAUAGUAUUUUUGAAUCGCAUGAUUUGAUUAUUAAAGUUCCAACGGUAAAAGAUGAGUAUGCGUCCCAUUAGCUAGAUGGUAAGGUAACGGCUUACCAUGGCUACGAUGGGUAGGGUCCUGAGAGGGAGAUCCCCCCACACUGGUACUGAGACACGGACCAGACUCCUACGGGNGCAGCAGUGAGGAAUAUUGGACAAUGGGCGCAAGCCUGAUCCAGCCAUGCCGCGUGCAGGAAGACGGUCCUAUGGAUUGUAAACUGCUUUUAUACAGGAANAACACUCCGACGUGUCGGAGCUUGACGGUAC
Molecule: ribosomal RNA, 447 nt
Filed under: uncultured bacterium
Lineage: Bacteria
Description: bacterial SSU rRNA
Rfam family: Bacterial small subunit ribosomal RNA
Source: RNAcentral